Molecule: ribosomal RNA, 510 nt
Filed under: uncultured bacterium
Lineage: Bacteria
Description: partial 16S ribosomal RNA
Rfam family: Bacterial small subunit ribosomal RNA
Source: RNAcentral
GACGAACGCUGGCGGCGUGCUUAACACAUGCAAGUCGAACGAAGAGCGAUGGAAGCUUGCUUCUAUCAAUCUUAGUGGCGAACGGGUGAGUAACGCGUAAUCAACCUGCCCUUCAGAGGGGGACAACAGUUGGAAACGACUGCUAAUACCGCAUACGAUCUAAUCUCGGCAUCGAGGAUAGAUGAAAGGUGGCCUCUACAUGUAAGCUAUCACUGAAGGAGGGGAUUGCGUCUGAUUAGCUAGUUGGAGGGGUAACGGCCCACCAAGGCGAUGAACAGUAGCCGGUCUGGGAGGAUGGAGGGCCACAUUGGGACUGAGACACGGCACAGACCCCUACGGGAGGCAGCAGUGGGGAAUCUUGCGCAAUGGACGAAAGUCUGACGGAGCAACGCCGCGGGAGGGAGGACGGCCUUCGGGUUGUAAAGCUCUGUUAAUCGGGACGAAAGGCCUUCUUGCGAAUAGUGAGAAGGAUUGACGGUACCGGAAUAGAAAGCCACGGCUAACUACGUG